RNAcentral lists this ribosomal RNA (466 nucleotides) under Palusophis bifossatus. RNAcentral describes it as "partial 12S ribosomal RNA". The record is from RNAcentral. Lineage: Eukaryota; Metazoa; Chordata; Lepidosauria; Squamata; Colubridae.
CCCUACUAUGCCCAACUAUAAAAAACAAUAAAAUUACCAAUUGUUCGCCAAAUAACUACGAGUAAAAACUUAAAAUUUAAAAGACUUGACGGUACCUUAAAACAGCCUAGAGGAGCCUGUCAAAUAACCGAUACCCCACGAUUAACCUAACCACCCCUAGCCUAACAGUCUAUAUACCGCCGUCGCCAGCUUACCUUAUGAAAGUAACAAAGUAAGCAUAAUAGCCACACACUAAUACGACAGGUCGAGGUGUAACACAUGGGUUGGUCCAAGAUGGGCUACAUUUUCUAACCCAGAAAAUACGAAAAGACCCUGAAACAAGAAACUGAAGGUGGAUUUAGCAGUACAUUAAGAACAAAAUACCUAAUCGAAACAUGCAAUAAGGUACGUACACACCGCCCGUCAUCCCUGUAAACUCAACAAACAUUUUAUAAACAAACUAGAACUUAAAACAGGGCAAGUCGUA